Molecule: long non-coding RNA, 303 nt
Filed under: Elaeis guineensis (African oil palm)
Lineage: Eukaryota; Viridiplantae; Streptophyta; Magnoliopsida; Arecales; Arecaceae
Description: long non-coding RNA (EGUI_LNC067351)
Source: RNAcentral
CUAAACUAGAGUGAUCAAUCCCAUCUUGACACACGCACCGACAAGUCAAGUACUUGACUACACCGAGCAGCCUUCCGUCACUGAAUUAAAAAUUCAGGUAGUCCAGUGCCUAAGUGCAGUGAGUUGCUUGCAAGUCACCGUGGCGGUCUCAGAUCGGAGGGAUAUUUAUACCCAUAUUCCAUCGGAGCAAAUCUUGACAGCAGAAAUAGCUUCGGAGUCGGUCACGUUCAGUGCAGAUGUACCCUUACAUCUCACCUGUAUGCCAUACCAGUAUCUCCAUACUCAUUGGUUAAGAGGACAACC